This is a long non-coding RNA of Anguilla anguilla (European eel), 1271 nucleotides long. RefSeq lists it as uncharacterized. NCBI's taxonomy places the organism in Eukaryota, Metazoa, Chordata, Actinopteri, Anguilliformes, Anguillidae. The record is from RefSeq and is a predicted model, not a curated record. The transcript is spliced from 2 exons.
CAGGUGUGAUUAAAGAAAAAAGACCAAAGAUUGCCUAUAUGCCCCAUGUUGGCAAUUAUCCUAUUCUGUUUAAGAAGAUCGCGAUUUGAUUUAUCAUGACAGGUGGUAUUAAAUGGAUCUUGUGAUUUUCCAGGGCAUUACGGUUUCCCUAUAUGUUUUCUUUUGUUGGUGUUUCUAAAAGGACAUACUGCACUGAUUAAUAUGUGUAUUUAUAACGGUAUUAUGGGAAAAUACUGGAGCAUUCUUGUUUAUAAGUUGCCUGGCAGCAAAUGAUGUCUGUUUUAGAUAAACAGUGUUUCUGACAUCUCAUUCUUACCUGAAAACCCAAGGAAAAAUGUUGAGGAAAGAAGCUAGUUGGCUCUAGUACUAACAAUGCGCUCUUCAGGUAAGUUAUCCUACAGAGCUGUUGUGUAAUGGUUAUCUGAAACUCUUAUUUUGAUGUUUGACUGACAGGACCAUACAGAAAGGCAUUCAUUAUACAAGAAAUGAAUGUGACACCGCUUUACAGCAAAUAGGCAGGACAUUAUAUCUUAAUGUGUAUGAAACCACGAGGAACCAUGACUAAAUCACAGGGUGUACUGUUAUGAGGGAGUAGGUUUCGUGCGUCUUGUAGUUAUUCACAAGUUCGGAAAAGUCCAGAAGCACGUGGCUGUCGUGUUUCACUCAUACAUGUGGAGACUUUACCUUCAGUGCAGUUGUGGAAUAUGGAAAGAUCCUGGCCUCCGUGGUCAUUCGUAGAACAGCUGGUGAACUCUGUACUGUGAUGACUGUCCAUACAGUCACACUUUCCUUCUGACAAAUAAGGCCCAGUAACGUUUCCCUGAUGGGAAAUAUCCAGUUGCAUAACUGUGUAAAACCAGCUAUAGCAAACUCCUCACUGAGGCAAAUAAGAAGGUAGAUUUGUGUCAUUUCUGCAUACAAAAUAUAUUUCCAACUAGAGAUGCACAAUGGGAAAUUUCUGGGCCAACUGAUAUUUGUCUGACCAUAUUGACUGAUGUUGUUACCUUCCUGUUUUACAUUUUGCAUACAUUUACAAACUGCAACCUGAUUUCCACAUUCAAGGAAGUAGGUAAUCACAGACAGCAACUUAUGAUGGAGAAAUUAGCAUUUUGUUUGUAUGACAAAAUACUAAAACCGGUUUACUUUUUUAUUAUUAAGCAGAGAGCAUGAGUCUAGAGAGGUACAGAGUCUCUGUGGAGCUUUGCUUGGGUGUUUGGUGUUUGCAAAAAUGAUAAAUGAAAAAUAAAUAAAAGAGGUUCAGAUGACAAUGA